UAUGAACGCUGGCGGCGUGCCUAAUACAUGCAAGUCGAGCGAACGGACGAGAAGCUUGCUUUUCUGAUGUUAGCGGCGGACGGGUGAGUAACACGUGGAUAACCUACCUAUAAGACUGGGAUAACUUCGGGAAACCGGAGCUAAUACCGGAUAAUAUUUUGAACCGCAUGGUUCAAAAGUGAAAGACGGUCUUGCUGUCACUUAUAGAUGGAUCCGCGCUGCAUUAGCUAGUUGGUAAGGUAACGGCUUACCAAGGCAACGAUGCAUAGCCGACCUGAGAGGGUGAUCGGCCACACUGGAACUGAGACACGGUCCAGACUCCUACGGGAGGCAGCAGUAGGGAAUCUUCCGCAAUGGGCGAAAGCCUGACGGAGCAACGCCGCGUGAGUGAUGAAGGUCUUCGGAUCGUAAAACUCUGUUAUUAGGGAAGAACAUAUGUGUAAGUAACUGUGCACAUCUUGACGGUACCUAAUCAGAAAGCCACGGCUAACUACGUG
Molecule: ribosomal RNA, 497 nt
Filed under: uncultured bacterium
Lineage: Bacteria
Description: partial 16S ribosomal RNA
Rfam family: Bacterial small subunit ribosomal RNA
Source: RNAcentral